Molecule: ribosomal RNA, 253 nt
Filed under: uncultured bacterium
Lineage: Bacteria
Description: partial 16S ribosomal RNA
Rfam family: Bacterial small subunit ribosomal RNA
Source: RNAcentral
AACAGAGGAUGCAAGCGUUAUCCGGAAUUAUUGGGCGUAAAGAGCUCGUAGGCGGUCUGUCGCGUCGGCUGUGAAAUCUUGGGGCUCAACCCCAAGCCUGCAGUCGAUACGGGCAGACUAGAGUGUGGUAGGGGAGACUGGAAUUCCUGGUGUAGCGGUGAAAUGCGCAGAUAUCAGGAGGAACACCGGUGGCGAAGGCGGGUCUCUGGGCCGUAACUGACGCUGAGGAGCGAAAGCGUGGGGAGCGAACAGG